Molecule: long non-coding RNA, 839 nt
Organism: Branchiostoma belcheri (Belcher's lancelet)
Lineage: Eukaryota; Metazoa; Chordata; Leptocardii; Amphioxiformes; Branchiostomatidae
Exons: 2
Source: RefSeq, a predicted model, not a curated record
CUUAUUAACCUUUUUUUGUUUUUUAUUUAUUGUGAAAAGAACAAAUUUUCUGAUACACCAGUUUUUCUUUAAACCCUCAUAGGCAGUGAGGCCAGGACAGCCUCAAAAAUAAAAAAUAAAAAGCUCAAUUUCCAGUCAGCACGGCUGUCAGUGAUACGGGUUGGGGGUUCAUAACUGUACAUUCCUAAAACAUGACAAAAAUGGGGCUGGGUCAGACGAAAAAAUCUUUUCCGUCAUGAACUGGAUUUUCCCAGAGUAGCAUCAGUUUCCGUUAACACUUUACAUGGUGUUCAAGUCAGCUACAAAAAGUGCACAGAGUUGUUCAACAAUGCAGACUGUUGGUUUCGUAACUGAGGUAUAUCCAGCGUUUGCCAUAGAAAGCUGACGUGGUGGAGUCAAAGGGACUAUAGUAUAGGAUGGCAGACAUAUCAUCAGAGUGACAAUGCAACUCCUCAUGGCAGCUUGGUUCGAAACUUGGCCUGAAGUCUCCCCUGGAUGUACAGUAUAUCACUAUUUCCCUUCACCUAGUGUCUAACAGUUCCUAUACGAAUGUACCGAUAUCACAAUCAUAACAACAUGGUGGAAGAUGGUCUGUAACAAUGCAAUACCUGUUUUUUUUUCACAUUUUUUUUCAAUACAGCCACAUGUGCCCUGUACAUGUGUUUAGAAAUGUUACAUAUCUGAGGACAACUAUGUAUGAGGCUUGUAAACAUACAUGGAGGUGGAACAUGUCAAGCAGCAGUCAAGAGGGGUAUUUCACGUACACCGGCCUUACAAAUGCCAAAAGAAACGUGGUCCUACUUUUUACAAAAACAAAGGGGAGGCAAUGAGGGGGGGAA